UGGGCUAUAGCCAAGCGGCAAGGCAACCGACUUUGACUUCCGUGAUGCGCUCGUUCGAAUCCAGCUAGCCGAG
Molecule: non-coding RNA, 73 nt
Organism: Geobacillus sp. B4113_201601
Lineage: Bacteria; Bacillati; Bacillota; Bacilli; Caryophanales; Anoxybacillaceae
Source: Rfam